UGGGGAAUAUUGCACAAUGGAGGAAACUCUGAUGCAGCGAUGCCGCGUGAGGGAAGAAGGUUUUAGGAUUGUAAACCUCUGUCUUCAGGGACGAAAAAAGGACGGUACCUGAGGAGGAAGCUCCGGCUAACUACGUGCCAGCAGCCACGGUAAUACGUAGGGAGCGAGCGUUGUCCGGAAUUACUGGGUGUAAAGGGAGCGUAGGCGGGAUCGCAAGUCAGAUGUGAAAACUAUGGGCUUAACCCAUAAACUGCAUUUGAAACUGUGGUUCUUGAGUGAAGUAGAGGUAAGCGGAAUUCCUAGUGUAGCGGUGAAAUGCGUAGAUAUUAGGAGGAACAUCAGUGGCGAAGGCGGCUUACUGGGCUUUAACUGACGCUGAGGCUCGAAAGCGUGGGGAGCAAACAGGAUUAGAUACCCUGGUAGUCCACGCCGUAAACGAUGAUUACUAGGUGUGGGGGGACUGACCCCUUCCGUGCCGCAGCAAACGCAAUAAGUAAUCCACCUGGGGAGUACGACCGCAAGGUUGAAACUCAAAGGAAUUGACGGGGGCCCGCACAAGCAGUGGAGUAUGUGGAUUAAUUCGAAGCAACGCGAAGAACCUUACCAGGUCUUGACAUCGUAUGCAUAGCUCAGAGAUGAGUGAAAUCUCUUCGGAGACAUAUAGACAGGUGGUGCAUGGUUGUCGUCAGCUCGUGUCGUGAGAUGUUGGGUUAAGUCCCGCAACGAGCGCAACCCUUACUGUUAGUUGCUACGCAAGAGCACUCUAGCAGGACUGCCGUUGACAAAACGGAGGAAGGUGGGGAUGACGUCAAAUCAUCAUGCCCCUUAUGACCUGGGCCUCACACGUACUACAAUGGCUGUAAACAGAGGGAAGCAAAGCCGCGAGGUAGAGCGAACCCCUAAAAGCAGUCUUAGUUCGGAUUGUAGGCUGCAACCCGCCUACAUGAAGUCGGAAUUGCUAGUAAUCGCAGAUCAGCAUGCUGCGGUGAAUACGUUCCC
RNAcentral lists this ribosomal RNA (999 nucleotides) under uncultured organism. Its description in RNAcentral is "bacterial SSU rRNA". It matches the Rfam family "Bacterial small subunit ribosomal RNA", at positions 355 to 1375 of the family's 1533-position model. The record is from RNAcentral.